This 497-nucleotide ribosomal RNA is filed under the name uncultured bacterium. RNAcentral's name for it is "partial 16S ribosomal RNA". It matches the Rfam family "Bacterial small subunit ribosomal RNA", at positions 28 to 507 of the family's 1533-position model. The record is from RNAcentral.
GAUGAACGCUGGCGGCGUGCCUAAUACAUGCAAGUCGAGCGAACAGACGAGGAGCUUGCUCCUUUGACGUUAGCGGCGGACGGGUGAGUAACACGUGGAUAACCUACCUAUAAGACUGGGAUAACUUCGGGAAACCGGAGCUAAUACCGGAUAAUAUAUUGAACCGCAUGGUUCAAUAGUGAAAGACGGUUUUGCUGUCACUUAUAGAUGGAUCCGCGCCGCAUUAGCUAGUUGGUAAGGUAACGGCUUACCAAGGCAACGAUGCGUAGCCGACCUGAGAGGGGGAUCCGCCACACUGGAACUGAGACACGGCCCAGACUCCUACGGGAGGCAGCAGUAGGGAAUCUUGCACAAUGGGCGCAGGCCUGACGCAGCCACGCCGCGUGAGUGAAGAAGGUCUUCGGAUCGUAAAACUCUGUUAUUAGGGAAGAACAUAUGUGUACGUAACUAUGCACGUCUUGACGGUACCUAAUCAAAAAGCCGCGGCUAACUACGUG